This 2630-nucleotide long non-coding RNA is filed under the name Oncorhynchus mykiss (rainbow trout). RNAcentral describes it as "lncRNA (ENSOMYG00000011972.2)". The record is from RNAcentral. Lineage: Eukaryota; Metazoa; Chordata; Actinopteri; Salmoniformes; Salmonidae.
UAAGCCCCAUCAUAGUGUCUUUCCUGGGGGCAGUGAGCAGCUCAGAGGGGUCCUAUGUGGUCCUGCCAUGCAGGGCAGUGGGGGACCUCCCCAUCAGGUACACCUGGACCAGGGGACACUCCAUCACCCCAACCCUGGAGAGGCAUGUAGAUGGUGAGCCAGUCACAUUUUAAAUAAAACUUACACCUGCCAAGAAAGAUACCCUACCACAUUCCCUUAUGAUGGCAUAAAUCCAUUCUACUAGUGUUUACAGAUCUGAAGAGAUGAGAUCGGUGGUAAGGAGAAUAAUGAGAGCUUUGGUGAAUGUGUGACUGUGCCUUCAUGUGUGUGCAGAUGAGGGGGCUCUGCAUAUCUCCAGUGUUCAGGUGUCUGAUGCAGGGGACUAUCACUGUACCGCUGAGAACAUAGUGGGACGACAGCAGAGAAGAGCCACCCUCACCAUCUCUGCUGAAGAUGACCCAGCUGAUAGAGAAAGGCAGCAUAGACAGAUUGUAUCUGCAGUGAGUAAUAAUGAGGUUCCAAAGACUGAAGCAGAGCAGAGAACUCCCCUGUCCAGUAAUGACCGGAGUCUAGUUCAGCAUUCUGAGAUGACCCACUCACAUGUCUCCCGACAGGGAGGAAGCACAGUCCGAGCAACUCAAAGAGACUCAAGCAAUGACAUCCCCCAAGUGUCUACUCCUGACACUCUACGACUGCUCUCGUCUCUCAGGCAGACAGCUUUAGGACUAGCAGGUCUCUACAGAGGACAAACAGGACUGCUGGUUCCACCUGACCUUCACUCUCUGCUCCCAUUGGACCUGGCCUCGGCCAAUCCAACCCAGUCCCCAGUCACACAGAUCCAGCAUCCAGUGCUACAACCCCUACCUCCACCUCUAUUUGAACCCUUAGACCUACUCACCCAGCCUUCAGUAACUCAUAGAGUCAUCUCACUCACUCAGAUUCAAAUAAUACCUAACCAGCCAACAUUAACACACAACCCACCCCCAGUGACACAACGGCAGGUUUUAGUCCCAGAUAGCCAAUCUCCAUUAACACAGUCCGUAUUCCAAAGCCUCCACAACCAGCCAUCAGUCAUGCAUUUCCAGCGUCAAGUCACUGAGCAACCAAUUAAACCCCUAAACCACAUCGGCAGAUUUACCCAGUCUCUGGUCUCACUCCCGCAGCUUCCAGACUCUUCCAGCCACCCGUCUGAUUCCUUUACCCAGCGUCCUGAUUCUCUUACCCAGCCCAAAGAACCUUUGACUCAGUCUCUACUCAUUCACAGCCUGCAUGCUCCCGACUCAAUCGCUCAAACCCACCAUCCUGUACCUCAAAGUAAUCCUUCAGACCCACAUAUCCAGGAUCCUAGCACCAUCACCCUGUUUUCACGCUCACAAACCCAGACUCAACCAUCCAAAACUCAGCCUCAACCAUCACCAACCCAGCAUGGACCUACACAAACCCAGCGUACAGAUCUCCUCACCCAGCCUUCAGGCUCAAACACCCAUCUUCCUGACCUGAUCACCACACCCCUCACCCCUGACCCCCAGGGCCCUAGUGCCCCCUCUGCCUCCACCCCAUACCCCCUGCAGCAGAACACGAGCCAGCCUGCUAACCCAGCUCAUCCAGCCAAACCAACCAGGCCCAAUGACACAGAGCCCAUAGAGUGGCUGAAGAGGAACACCUCUCAGUCCCCCAUGAGGACCAAUGAGGACCCCAGAGUAAAGCCUCCUCCUCCGUGGCUUCCAGUGCUGGAGAAACAUGACAUCCCCAUCGUGGUGGGAGUGGGUGUGUCUAUGGCCUUCAUCUUCAUCACCAUGGCCUUCUACUCCCUGGUCCAGAAGAACGAGCCUGUCCCCACUAUUAGAACCUUGUCUUCCACAGUUCCCAGGAACCUGGGCGUCCCAUGCAGACAUGCUGAACGUCUGGACACUGGGAGGACCUAUGAGAACAGGGCAUUUGAGGAUGAUGAUUUGGUGGCUGUGAUUGAACAAAGCCCCAACACAUCAGAUACACGCGCCAGGCCUCCUGCCCCCAGCCCAGUCACUGUGAUGAUAGACCCAGCCUCUGAUGAGACACAGCCCCCGCACACUCCAGAACACUCGUUUAUAGCAGAGACCUAUCUUGAGCCCAGCGAAGACACACAGUUGCAGCAGCUGUCUGGAUCCUCUCCACUUCAGGUCGACCACUUCCUGGAUGAAGAGAAGGAAUGCAGCCUGUCUCACCCCAGUAUCCAGCUGCAGUGUGUGGAGGACUGGGGGGGCGGAGGAGUAGAAUACGGACAAUGCCAGGGCCAAGAAAUCCUACCCCAUCCCCCCUCUCUCUCUCCUUCCCCACCUCCUGUGCGUGAGGAAAGCCUGCGCUCCUCCCUGACCCUCCAGACAGCUGAGCCCUAUGCCACACCGGUCCGCCACAGUGUCAGUAUCUGCCACAGUAAUGCCCCCCUCCUCCUCUCCCACUGCAUCUCCCUGGGCCUUACCACCGUCGCUGUUGAUGUCCACUUCUACCCAGCAGCCCCUGCUUCCACCACCACGACAGUGGCAGCCGUCACCCAGAUCAAUGCUACUGCACCAGGGCCCCAGCUCAGCUCCCGAUUGGCUCACAGUCAGGAGCAUGACCAAUCGGCUCCUACCGUGCGCCAGAGUAAGUAA